GCGCGUUGCCGGGGUGAUCAGGUGACUCGGGGCUCGCGGCGUUCCGGGCAGCCGUGACGUCAGGCGCGCGGCUGUUUCUCUCUUGCUGGGUGGCAGGUGCGGUGCAUCUGGUGCGGUCUUAUCUGGUCGGACCAGGUCCAGACCCAACCAGUGCCGUACGGAUUCGAGAGGAGGGGAGGUACAUUCUGCAGGUCCCUGAUGAACCCAGGGAACCCUCCACCAUAUCCAGGCCCUGGUCCAACAGCCCCGUACCCACCUUAUCCACCACAACCAAUGGGACCAGGGGCCUACCCUCCAGGACCUAUGGGGGGACCCUACCCACCUCCUCAGGGGUACCCCUACCAAGGAUAUCCACAGUAUGGCUGGCAGGGUGGACCUCAGGAGCCUCCUAAAACUACAGUGUACAUGAGGGAACAAGAAAGGAAGACGGAUGCUGGGUGUCAGGCAGCCCUGGCCGCAUGCUGGACUGCUCUCUGCUGUUGCUGCCUCCUGGACAACUUGGACUGAGCAGCCGGGACCAAGUGCUCCCUCCAGGCCCACUGCCUUCUGUUACUGCAAUAAACAACUAGUGUUGUGCCGUGCCAUUUUUUUCUUCGUUUGAAAAAUAAUAAUCUACAGACGUUACCACCUAUGAUAGGUGUGAAGUAGCAUCUCGCUAUCUUUUUUAACAUGCUGACUCAGCAAUUCUGUAUAUUAGGCAUUGCUCACCACAAUAAGUACAGUCACCAUCUGUCACUUACAUUAAUGCAAUAUUCUUGAUUGUGUUCCCUAUGCUGUACUUUUCAUCUCUGCCACUGAUAAUUGGAAGCUUAUACCUCUCGACCCCUUUAUUUCUUUCACUCAUCUCCCCACUCACUUCCUCUUUGGCCAGCAGCACUUCUGUAUUUAAGACUCUGUUUUUUAAUUCCACGUAUAAGUGAAAUCAUACAGUA
Molecule: RNA transcript, 932 nt
Organism: Canis lupus familiaris (dog)
Lineage: Eukaryota; Metazoa; Chordata; Mammalia; Carnivora; Canidae
Gene: CYSTM1
Gene name: cysteine rich transmembrane module containing 1
Exons: 3
Source: RefSeq, a predicted model, not a curated record